GUCUACGGCCAUACCACCCUGAACAUGCCCGACCUCAUCUGAUCUCACAAGCUAAGCAGGGUCGGGUCUGGUUAGUACUUGGAUGGGAGACCCCUUUGCUUGGAAGGGUGUUGGCGGCC
Non-coding RNA from Erinaceus europaeus (western European hedgehog), 119 nucleotides. Lineage: Eukaryota; Metazoa; Chordata; Mammalia; Eulipotyphla; Erinaceidae. The record is from Rfam.